RNAcentral lists this ribosomal RNA (525 nucleotides) under uncultured bacterium. RNAcentral's name for it is "bacterial SSU rRNA". It matches the Rfam family "Bacterial small subunit ribosomal RNA", at positions 28 to 526 of the family's 1533-position model. The record is from RNAcentral.
GACGAACGCUGGCGGCGUGCCUAAUACAUGCAAGUCGAACGCUUUUUUUCUCACCGAAGCUUGCUUCAACGAGAGAAAAGGAGUGGCGGACGGGUGAGUAACACGUGGGUAACCUGCCCAUUAGAGGGGGAUAACACUUGGAAACAGGUGCUAAUACCGCAUAAUUCCAGCAACCGCAUGGUCGCUGGAUAAAAGACGCUUCGGUGUCACUAAUGGAUGGACCCGCGCUGCAUUAGUUAGUUGGUGGGGUAACGGCCUACCAAGACCGUGAUGCAUAGCCGACCUGAGAGGGUGAUCGGCCACACUGGGACUGAGACACGGCCCAGACUCCUACGGGAGGCAGCAGUAGGGAAUCUUCGGCAAUGGACGAAAGUCUGACCGAGCAACGCCGCGUGAGUGAAGAAGGUUUUCGGAUCGUAAAACUCUGUUGUUAGAGAAGAACAAGUGAGAGAGUAACUGUUCUCACCUUGACGGUAUCUAACCAGAAAGCCACGGCUAACUACGUGCCAGCCGCCGCCGUAACAC